RNAcentral lists this ribosomal RNA (518 nucleotides) under uncultured Pseudomonadota bacterium. RNAcentral describes it as "bacterial SSU rRNA". It matches the Rfam family "Bacterial small subunit ribosomal RNA", at positions 381 to 896 of the family's 1533-position model. The record is from RNAcentral. Lineage: Bacteria; Pseudomonadati; Pseudomonadota.
ACCUGAUCCAGCCAUGCCGCGUGAGUGAGAAGGCCUCGGGUGUAAAGCUCUUUCGGCGGGGACGAAACGGUCCGUGCCAACACCACGGACUAAUGACGGUACUCGCAGAAGAAGCACCGGCUAACUACGUGCCAGCAGCCGCGGUAAUACGUAGGGUGCGGGCGUUAAUCGGAAUUACUGGGCGUAAAGCGUGCGCAGGCGGCUCCUUAAGUCAGAUGUGAAAUCCCCGGGCUUAACCUGGGAACUGCGUUUGAAACUGAGGGGCUUGAGUGUGGAAGAGGGGGUGGAAUUCCAGGUGUAGCAGUGAAAUGCGUAGAGAUCUGGAGGAACACCGAUGGCGAAGGCAGCCCCCUGGGCUAACACUGACGCUCAUGCACGAAAGCGUGGGGAGCAAACAGGAUUAGAUACCCUGGUAGUCCACGCCCUAAACGAUGUCAACUGGUUGUCGGGGAAGCAAUUCCUUGGUAACGAAGCUAACGCGUGAAGUUGACCGCCUGGGGAGUACGGCCGCAAGGUUA